Molecule: ribosomal RNA, 236 nt
Filed under: Staphylococcus aureus
Lineage: Bacteria; Bacillati; Bacillota; Bacilli; Caryophanales; Staphylococcaceae
Description: partial 16S ribosomal RNA
Rfam family: Bacterial small subunit ribosomal RNA
Source: RNAcentral
UUUAUGGAGAGUUUGAUCCUGGCUCAGGAUGAACGCUGGCGGCGUGCCUAAUACAUGCAAGUCGAGCGAACGGACGAGAAGCUUGCUUCUCUGAUGUUAGCGGCGGACGGGUGAGUAACACGUGGAUAACCUACCUAUAAGACUGGGAUAACUUCGGGAAACCGGAGCUAAUACCGGAUAAUAUUUUGAACCGCAUGGUUCAAAAGUGAAAGACGGUCUUGCUGUCACUUAUAGAU